RNAcentral lists this ribosomal RNA (454 nucleotides) under uncultured Bacteroides sp. RNAcentral's name for it is "partial 16S ribosomal RNA". It matches the Rfam family "Bacterial small subunit ribosomal RNA", at positions 341 to 792 of the family's 1533-position model. Lineage: Bacteria; Pseudomonadati; Bacteroidota; Bacteroidia; Bacteroidales; Bacteroidaceae. The record is from RNAcentral.
ACGGGAGGCAGCAGUGAGGAAUAUUGGUCAAUGGGCGAGAGCCUGAACCAGCCAAGUAGCGUGAAGGAUGACUGCCCUAUGGGUUGUAAACUUCUUUAGUGCGGGAAUAAAGUGAGCCACGUGUGGCUUUUUGCAUGUACCGCAAGAAUAAGCAUCGGCUAAUUCCGUGCCAGCAGCCGCGGUAAUACGGAAGAUGCGAGCGUUAUCCGGAUUUAUUGGGUUUAAAGGGAGCGUAGGCGGAAAGACAAGUCAGUUGUGAAAGUUUGCGGCUCAACCGUAAAAUUGCAGUUGAAACUGUUUUUCUUGAGUGCACAUGAGGAUGGUGGAAUUCGUAGUGUAGCGGUGAAAUGCUUAGAUAUUACGAAGAACUCCGAUUGCGAAGGCAGCUGUCUAGGGUGCAACUGACGCUGAGGCUCGAAAGUGCGGGUAUCAAACAGGAUUAGAUACCCUGGUA